RNAcentral lists this long non-coding RNA (201 nucleotides) under Capsella rubella. Its description in RNAcentral is "long non-coding RNA (CRUB_LNC005203)". The record is from RNAcentral. Lineage: Eukaryota; Viridiplantae; Streptophyta; Magnoliopsida; Brassicales; Brassicaceae.
AAUAUAUAGCAAAAUUAUGGUGGAUAUUUUCUCUCAAAAUCUUGUUGCAAUAUAUCUACUAAAAAUCUAAUCAAAUAUUUAUUAAAAAAAAUAUUACAAUUGGGUUUUGGUUUCUCACGUCUAAACACAUGAAUAAUCAAUCUUCCUUUGCUCCAUGCUUCUUCCUUUGUUAAUUGUUCCUUCUUCUGAGAAAUUUCAGUU